RNAcentral lists this ribosomal RNA (116 nucleotides) under Rhodococcus sp. AQ5-07. RNAcentral's name for it is "partial 16S ribosomal RNA". It matches the Rfam family "Bacterial small subunit ribosomal RNA", at positions 1429 to 1533 of the family's 1533-position model. Lineage: Bacteria; Bacillati; Actinomycetota; Actinomycetes; Mycobacteriales; Nocardiaceae. The record is from RNAcentral.
GGUGGCUUAACCCCUUGUGGGAGGGAGCCGUCGAAGGUGGGAUCGGCGAUUGGGACGAAGUCGUAACAAGGUAGCCGUACCGGAAGGUGCGGCUGGAUCACCUCCUUUCUAAGGAG